AGAUGCAAGAUAUGAAGACACAUCAGUGUCCCAGUCAGUGUUUGCUCUGAUCCCCAUAAGUAUGCGUUGUCAGCUGAUCUUGCUGGCUAUGCGGGUGUCCCCUUCCUCCUUCACCAUCCCAUGUGCAUCUCUCUGGAAGCUGCACACUUGGUCAGAAAGGGCAGACACCUCCAGUAGAGGAGGACCAUAAUUAGUACUUCUUCUAAUGGGUGAAUGGUGGCUGCAAAUAUAACACUUGCAAAUCUUCAUGGUUGGAGGAUUU
This 262-nucleotide small RNA is filed under the name Fukomys damarensis (Damara mole-rat). RNAcentral's name for it is "7SK RNA (ENSFDAG00000000636.1)". It matches the Rfam family "7SK RNA", at positions 49 to 252 of the family's 331-position model. From Rfam's summary of the family: 7SK was discovered as an abundant small nuclear RNA in the mid-70s but a possible function has only recently been suggested. Two independent studies have found that 7SK RNA binds the CDK9/cyclin T complex (known as elongation factor P-TEFb). The record is from RNAcentral. Lineage: Eukaryota; Metazoa; Chordata; Mammalia; Rodentia; Bathyergidae.